RNAcentral lists this unclassified non-coding RNA (336 nucleotides) under soil metagenome. Its description in RNAcentral is "partial contains 5.8S ribosomal RNA, internal transcribed spacer 2, and large subunit ribosomal RNA". The stretch from base 1 to 120 matches the Rfam family "5.8S ribosomal RNA", at positions 35 to 154 of the family's 154-position model. The record is from RNAcentral.
GAUGAAGAAGGUAGCGAAAUGCGAUAAGUAGUGUGAAUUGCAGAAUUCAGUGAAUCAUCGAAUCUUUGAACGCACAUUGCGCCCCUUGGUAUUCCAUGGGGCAUGCCUGUUCGAGCGUCAUUUGUACCUUCAAGCUUUGCUUGGUGUUGGGUGUUUGUCUCGCCUUUGCGUGUAGACUCGCCUUAAAAUAAUUGGCAGCCGGCGUAUUGAUUUCGGAGCGCAGUACAUCUCGCGCUUUGCACUCAUAACGACAGCGUCCAAAAGUACAUUUUACACUCUUGACCUCGGAUCAGGUAGGGAUACCCGCUGAACUUAAGCAUAUCAAUAAGCGGAGGA